RNAcentral lists this small RNA (554 nucleotides) under unidentified. RNAcentral's name for it is "eukaryotic LSU rRNA". It matches the Rfam family "Eukaryotic large subunit ribosomal RNA", at positions 85 to 655 of the family's 3401-position model. The record is from RNAcentral.
AGCGGCGAGCGAGCGGGAAGAGCUCAAAUUUAUAAUCUGGCACCUUCGGUGUCCGAGUUGUAAUCUCUAGAAAUGUUUUCCGCGUUGGACCGCACACAAGUCUGUUGGAAUACAGCGGCAUAGUGGUGAGACCCCCGUAUAUGGUGCGGACGCCCAGCGCUUUGUGAUACAUUUUCGAAGAGUCGAGUUGUUUGGGAAUGCAGCUCAAAUUGGGUGGUAAAUUCCAUCUAAAGCUAAAUAUUGGCGAGAGACCGAUAGCGAACAAGUACCGUGAGGGAAAGAUGAAAAGCACUUUGGAAAGAGAGUUAACAGUACGUGAAAUUGUUGGAAGGGAAACGCUUGAAGUCAGACUUGCUUGCCGAGCAAUCGGUUUGCAGGCCAGCAUCAGUUUUCCGGGAUGGAUAAUGGUAGAGAGAAGGUAGCAGUUUCGGCUGUGUUAUAGCUCUCUGCUGGAUACAUCUUGGGGGACUGAGGAACGCAGUGUGCCUUUUGGCGGGGGUUUCGACCUCUUCACACUUAGGAUGCUGGUGGAAUGGCUUUAAACGACCCGUCUU